GUACAAUGUUGCACAGUUCUGGGGAACUCUAUGGAAAUGGACAACGUUGAGGGUUUGAAAAGCUGGGAGCUAUGAGGCCGACUUGAAGUGCUAACACAGCAGCUAACACUCAGGGAAGGCUCUAAUCCUUUGGCCCCCUCUGCCUAGACAUCUGUUCGUGGACUGUGGCUUUUGCCGAACAAAAAAAAUAGAGAACUACCCAAGAAACCACUCAAAAAAACAAC
Long non-coding RNA from Alligator sinensis (Chinese alligator), 224 nucleotides. RefSeq lists it as uncharacterized. The transcript has 3 exons. The record is from RefSeq and is a predicted model, not a curated record. NCBI's taxonomy places the organism in Eukaryota, Metazoa, Chordata, Crocodylia, Alligatoridae.